This 445-nucleotide ribosomal RNA is filed under the name uncultured bacterium. RNAcentral describes it as "partial 16S ribosomal RNA". It matches the Rfam family "Bacterial small subunit ribosomal RNA", at positions 354 to 796 of the family's 1533-position model. The record is from RNAcentral.
GUGAGGAAUAUUGGUCAAUGGGCGGGAGCCUGAACCAGCCAAGUCGCGUGAAGGAAGAAGGAUCUAUGGUUCGUAAACUUCUUUUGCAGGGGAAUAAAGUGCAGGACGUGUCCUGUUUUGUAUGUACCCUGAGAAUAAGGAUCGGCUAACUCCGUGCCAGCAGCCGCGGUAAUACGGAUGAUCCGAGCGUUAUCCGGAUUUAUUGGGUUUAAAGGGUGCGUAGGUGGUUUGAUAAGUCAGCGGUGAAAGUUUGCAGCUUAACUGUAAAAAUGCCGUUGAAACUGUCGUAAUUGAGUGUAAAUGAGGUAGGCGGAAUGCGUGGUGUAGCGGUGAAAUGCAUAGAUAUCACGCAGAACUCCGAUUGCGAAGGCAGCUUACUAAGCUACAACUGACACUGAAGCACGAAAGCGUGGGGAUCAAACAGGAUUAGAAACCCUUGUAGUCC